RNAcentral lists this ribosomal RNA (1264 nucleotides) under Leuconostoc mesenteroides. RNAcentral describes it as "bacterial SSU rRNA". It matches the Rfam family "Bacterial small subunit ribosomal RNA", at positions 32 to 1279 of the family's 1533-position model. The record is from RNAcentral. Lineage: Bacteria; Bacillati; Bacillota; Bacilli; Lactobacillales; Lactobacillaceae.
AAAGGGGGGCCAUCCUAAUACAUGGCAGUCGAACGCACAGCGAAAGGUGCUUGCACCUUUCAAGUGAGUGGCGAACGGGUGAGUAACACGUGGACAACCUGCCUCAAGGCUGGGGAUAACAUUUGGAAACAGAUGCUAAUACCGAAUAAAACUUAGUGUCGCAUGACACAAAGUUAAAAGGCGCUUCGGCGUCACCUAGAGAUGGAUCCGCGGUGCAUUAGUUAGUUGGUGGGGUAAAGGCCUACCAAGACAAUGAUGCAUAGCCGAGUUGAGAGACUGAUCGGCCACAUUGGGACUGAGACACGGCCCAAACUCCUACGGGAGGCUGCAGUAGGGAAUCUUCCACAAUGGGCGAAAGCCUGAUGGAGCAACGCCGCGUGUGUGAUGAAGGCUUUCGGGUCGUAAAGCACUGUUGUAUGGGAAGAACAGCUAGAAUAGGAAAUGAUUUUAGUUUGACGGUACCAUACCAGAAAGGGACGGCUAAAUACGUGCCAGCAGCCGCGGUAAUACGUAUGUCCCGAGCGUUAUCCGGAUUUAUUGGGCGUAAAGCGAGCGCAGACGGUUUAUUAAGUCUGAUGUGAAAGCCCGGAGCUCAACUCCGGAAUGGCAUUGGAAACUGGUUAACUUGAGUGCAGUAGAGGUAAGUGGAACUCCAUGUGUAGCGGUGGAAUGCGUAGAUAUAUGGAAGAACACCAGUGGCGAAGGCGGCUUACUGGACUGCAACUGACGUUGAGGCUCGAAAGUGUGGGUAGCAAACAGGAUUAGAUACCCUGGUAGUCCACACCGUAAACGAUGAACACUAGGUGUUAGGAGGUUUCCGCCUCUUAGUGCCGAAGCUAACGCAUUAAGUGUUCCGCCUGGGGAGUACGACCGCAAGGUUGAAACUCAAAGGAAUUGACGGGGACCCGCACAAGCGGUGGAGCAUGUGGUUUAAUUCGAAGCAACGCGAAGAACCUUACCAGGUCUUGACAUCCUUUGAAGCUUUUAGAGAUAGAAGUGUUCUCUUCGGAGACAAAGUGACAGGGGGGUGCAUGGUCGUCGUCAGCUCGUGUCGUGAGAUGUUGGGUUAAGUCCCGCAACGAGCGCAACCCUUAUUGUUAGUUGCCAGCAUUCAGAUGGGCACUCUAGCGAGACUGCCGGUGACAAACCGGAGGAAGGCGGGGACGACGUCAGAUCAUCAUGCCCCUUAUGACCUGGGCUACCACCGUGCUACAAUGGGCGUAUACAACAAGUUGCCACCCCCGAGGGGGAACUAACCUCUUAA